ACAGCAGUCGCCACGGUAAUACGAAGGGUGCAAGCGUUAAUCGGAAUUACUGGGCGUAAAGCGUGCGUAGGCGGUGAGUUAAGUCUGCUGUGAAAUCCCCGGGCUCAACCUGGGAAUGGCAGUGGAUACUGGCUCGCUAGAGUGUGUCAGAGGAUGGUGGAAUUCCCGGUGUAGCGGUGAGAUGCGUAGAGAUCGGGAGGAACAUCGGUGGCGAAGGCGGCCAUCUGGGACAACACUGACGCUGAGGCACGAAAGCGUGGGGAGCAAACAGGAUUAGAUACCCCCGUAGUCCCUGUCUCUUAUAC
RNAcentral lists this ribosomal RNA (305 nucleotides) under uncultured bacterium. Its description in RNAcentral is "partial 16S ribosomal RNA". It matches the Rfam family "Bacterial small subunit ribosomal RNA", at positions 505 to 807 of the family's 1533-position model. The record is from RNAcentral.